AUGAGGAGGAGAAGAAGUAAAGCAAAGAACAACUCAUGGGUUGAGCUUGAAGAGAGGAUAGUUCCCUGUUUGUCUCUUUCUGUUGAAGGGGAGAUACACAUAAUAUGCAGUUAUACGAUCCCAUGUCCCACAGCAUCAGCAGCACAUCAAGUAUUGGCAAUGAAGUGCUACUGUGAGAGCUCUUGCAUUUGUGGAGGCUGCAACAACUGUCCCUUGCCAGCCAUCCCAUGAGGGGACACCUUAGCCAGAAGCUGAAGAGGAGGAGGUAUGCUCUCCAUCUGCCUUUCACACUGAGGUUAAAGGACGCAAACAGAAGAAGUCCAUUGCUACUCUCCAUAAUUCACGGUGGCAUGAAAAUCUCCCUGCCAUGCAAUGCCCUGGAAGGGGUUGUCAGCUACAGGCACGAUCUGUCUUGGAGCACCUUCCAUCUAUUGGUCACACUCCUACUGUAGUGAGCCACUGAGGACUGUCUGGCCCUUACAUAUUAGUGUUGGACAGGCUAUAAGGACCUGACUUGGCUGGAUCACACACAUUUUGUUCUGUUAUUCCAGUACAUUAAAACAAACUUAUACGUAUGUAUUUGCUUCCUCUAGUGUUUCCAAUAAUCACAGCUGCUGCAAAGAGCAUGCUCUCUCUUGCAAUUAUCUUGCCAUCAAGAAAGCUAAGAAAAUAGCAAAGGAUUUUGUUUUUUGCUGGAGACAGUAUGAUACUCAGGGUGUUUCUCAUUAAAGAAAAUGUACCUGUUUUAAAAUGUGUCAGCAGCUGGAAUGUUCUGCACCUUUAAAAAGUUGUGUUCAGAGGGUGAUCGAUUUGCUUGUAGGGAAUCACUUAGAAGUGGGUUUGAGCUUAAGCAGAGGAUUAAUCAAGUUUAUAACAACAAGAAUUACAAAAGUUAAUGUUGUUAUUAUUAUUAUUUUGCCAUUACAAUUCUGAAUGGAAAUCUGGGGGUACAGGAUUGACUUAAGUAAAUAACUAUUCAUGUGACAAUAUAUGAGAUUUGUGUUAAAGUCUGGAAAGACCACUUGUUGAUGAUGUUAUCUCCUGGAGUCCAACAGAGAUUUACCAAGCACAGAGGAGGUUAUUAUCCCUCUGCUCAGAGUAACACACAGUCUGUUGGGUUCAGGAGGUUCUAAAGCUCUUCCUCACUACUGUGAACAUUUAUGGUGGAUGCUUAAAGCAGCCUACAUGAGAACUAGGGAGACCAGAGCACAAACUAGGGAGACCAGAGCACAACAGCACCUUCUUUACACUCCAGAAAUAAACUAUAACAAAUUAGUCAAGUAAAACCCUGUAAGAUGUUUCCUGCAGAACAGUUUAUGAAACAGUUACCUCAUUUAUCAUAGAAUUUUAGGAUCGUUAAAAUCAACUCAGAUUUCUCUAAAAAGAGGUUGAGGUGGCAGACAGAGCUAUUUCUAAAAGCAGUCAGCAACCACUAGCUCCUGCUGAAAACUUCAGAGACCAGGGCAAUGGAGUCUUCUUAAGAAAAACAGCCUUCAGAGAUAAAAUCUUGCAGGAGUUUAAUGGAAAUUGAGUACCUAGGUUGCACAAUUUGCUUCAGAAAAGCCCAAUUUCUGGUCAUUUGGCUUGUGCAAGCUGUUCAGAGUCAUUUUCCCUAAGUCCUACUAACCCUACAGUUUUCAGGAUCUAUUCCAUGUAAAUCAGUUUUGAGAUGAUAAACGUUUCUCUAUUAACAGAUUCCAGACCUAUGCUGUGAAAGUAUGAUGAAUCAGAGUACAACAAGCCAGAAAUUAAAACAAAACAAAACAAAACACUUUUGUCUUGUGAAUGAUGAUAACACAGCACAAAGAUUGAACUGAGAAGCAAGAAAGUCAGCCUCAUCAGCAAGAACUUCCUAGACUUAAAUAGUUUUGUUAGUAUUAUUUGGGAUGUCUUUACUGAUUCAUGUGGAUCUGUGAUUACCAAAAUUAGCCAAGGAUCUAGUCCUUUUUGUUAGUAAGGUAUUUGAUUCAGGUUUCUUUCUGCCUGCUUAUUCUUAAAUAAUUAGCUGACCUAGCUGACGCAGCUUGAGCUGAUUGCAUUGUGAAAUAUCUCUUCCUCAGUUACAUCACCAGAAUAAAAGCUUGUGAUGAUUCCGAAUAGUUCUGAUAACUGUUCUCUUCCUUUUGUUUCACAGAAGUACUUUACACAACACAGUUGAGUUUCAUCUAU
This is a long non-coding RNA of Cairina moschata (Muscovy duck), 2169 nucleotides long. Lineage: Eukaryota; Metazoa; Chordata; Aves; Anseriformes; Anatidae. The record is from Ensembl.